Molecule: ribosomal RNA, 783 nt
Filed under: uncultured Actinomycetes bacterium
Lineage: Bacteria; Bacillati; Actinomycetota; Actinomycetes
Description: bacterial SSU rRNA
Rfam family: Bacterial small subunit ribosomal RNA
Source: RNAcentral
UGCGAGUCGAGCGAUGAAGCUGGAGCUUGCUCCGGCCGAUUAGUGGCGAACGGGUGAGUAACACGUGAGCAAUCUGCCCUUGACUCUGGGAUAACUGCGGGAAACUGUAGCUAAUACCGGAUACUUUCCUCGCUGGGCAUCCAGCAGGGAAGAAAGAAUUUCGGUCAAGGAUGAGCUCGCGGCCUAUCAGCUAGUUGGUGAGGUAAAGGCUCACCAAGGCGACGACGGGUAGCCGGCCUGAGAGGGUGACCGGCCACACUGGAACUGAGACACGGUCCAGACUCCUACGGGAGGCAGCAGUGGGGAAUAUUGCACAAUGGGCGAAAGCCUGAUGCAGCAACGCCGCGUGAGGGAUGAAGGCCUUCGGGUUGUAAACCUCUUUUAGCAGGGAAGAAGCGAAAGUGACGGUACCUGCAGAAAAAGCACCGGCUAACUACGUGCCAGCAGCCGCGGUAAUACGUAGGGUGCAAGCGUUGUCCGGAAUUAUUGGGCGUAAAGAGCUCGUAGGCGGUUUGUCACGUCUGCUGUGAAAAUCCGAGGCUCAACCUCGGACUUGCAGUGGGUACGGGCAGGCUAGAGUGCGGUAGGGGAGAAGGGAAUUCCUGGUGUAGCGGUGGAAUGCGCAGAUAUCAGGAGGAACACCAAUGGCGAAGGCACUUCUCUGGGCCGUAACUGACGCUGAGGAGCGAAAGCGUGGGGAGCGAACAGGAUUAGAUACCCUGGUAGUCCACGCCGUAAACGGUGGGUGCUAGCUGUGGGCCACAUUCCACGUGGUCCGUGACG